AACCCGCCCACAUGAAGUUGGAGUUGCUAGUAAUCGCGGAUCAGAAUGCCGCGGUGAAUACGUUCCCGGGCCUUGUACACACCGCCCGUCACACCAUGGGAGUUGGGAGCACCCGAAGCCGGUGAGCUGACCGCAAGGAGGCAGCCGUCGAAGGUGAGACCGAUGACUGGGGUGAAGUCGUAACAAGGUAUC
This 192-nucleotide ribosomal RNA is filed under the name uncultured bacterium. RNAcentral's name for it is "partial 16S ribosomal RNA". It matches the Rfam family "Bacterial small subunit ribosomal RNA", at positions 1309 to 1500 of the family's 1533-position model. The record is from RNAcentral.